AAAUAUUUGAAUUGUGAGUUAUCCAAUUCUUUUUUGUUCUGACGGAAUUGAUUUGACUUAUCAAGCUUAGCUUGUGGCGUCUAUCCAUUUCUUGUUUCCGAACUUAUCACUUUCAUAGUGUGGUGUUCAUCAUAUACCAAGGUUUCUAUCAUCCUUGAUAGUGGGUCGAGGUUCAUCAUAUACCAAGGUUCCUAUCAUUCUUGAUAGUGAGUCGAGGUCUUUUAAACCGUAAUCAUCUAAGAGCCAUUUGAGAUUUGGUCAACAAUCAAGUAUUGUUGGUUCAUUUUCGGCCUUAGUAAAUUUAUCAUUUGUUUUGUUAAGCCUUUAUUACUGAUCGGGCAACAUACGACUCGAACCAAUCACGAAACGAGUUCGUAUCAAAGCGGGUCCUUUCCAGCAAUUGGGCUAAUUUCGUAAAAGGAAAAUGUGUGAGACUUGAAGCAGAGAUGAGAAGAUAUUUAAAAGGAAUCAGAGCAUUUGGUAUAGUAGUCUGGAUCAUUGGGUUUUAAAUAGAUGUUAAAUCUUUUGUUACAGCAGUUGAAUAACUGUUUUUUUAUAAUUUUAUAAUUCUUUUUGUUUUUUGAAUUUUUUUAAAUAAUCCAUUUACUUUAAACGAAAUGGAUUAAUUAAACUAAUCUAAUGAUCUAAUUAGUCCCAGCAUUAAUCCAGUUUGUUAACAAAUCGUUUUGAUAUAUUGGCAUCUUGUGCUGCAAACAAUAAUUUCAUCAUUGUAGGAAAAAUUAAAAAAGAGAAAAAUCAAAACCAGUGGUUUUGCUAGUCUAGUGCCCAAUUUUUUAUUUUAUUUUUUUAAAAAUAACAACAGCUGGAUUUUAUUGAAAAUAACAAGAGAGUACAAGCCAAAUAAAGUCUUAAAGCCCAAUAAAUAAACUAAACUAAAUCCAACAAACAAUAUGCUGGCCAGCUAUUUGUUGUAAAAAUUUGUUAAUAAUUAUUAUAUUUUUUACAUUGUAAUAACUUUUUAUAAAUUUUUAUAACUUUCGACACAAUCAUAAUAUAUCACAUAAAAAAAAACACCAUUGAUUACCCUUAACUAUCAAAGGGGCUACUUAAAUGUAUUUUCUCAAGAGAAGAGUGUAAUUAGAUGAAAAAAUCAUUGAUUCUUUUAGAAAAAAGUUUUGAGAGUGAAAUUAUUAUGGUGAAGAAUGAAAUUUUAUUGUGGAUGUGAAUUGUGCAACAUGGAAGAAUUACCUGGAAAAUGAUGAUGAUGAGAGUGGAGUGAAAAAUGGAAAAGCUUAGAAAAAAAAUGAAAAUUUCAGCCAUGCACAUGUAUCAAUAAUAAGUGUUAGGAUGGAUGGAUACUGUGGUCAAUUUCGAUGCCUUUUUAUAAUUGCUAGGAAUGCAGUUUCUUUCUUUAUAAAUCAAUUUUUGGUUUUCCUACACUCCAAAUUUUGUCAAGAGUAGCCUUUUUUUUUCUUUGUAGGAAAAUGACAAGUGUCGAAACAAUUGGAAAAUUAGGCUACUAUUCAUGGUUUUGCUGGAGAUAUUUCCAAUGGUGGUGGAAAUGAUCAUGCUGGCAGAGUAUAAAGUGUUAAUAAAGGUAAUGAAUGUGAUGGGGCAUGUCAUUCAAAGCAAAGGACCGAGGCUUGCUAAGGCAGAUGAGCAAGUUAAUGACCCACAAAAACAAAUUAACUUCUCAU
RNAcentral lists this long non-coding RNA (1658 nucleotides) under Gossypium barbadense (sea-island cotton). RNAcentral's name for it is "long non-coding RNA (GBAR_LNC013605)". Lineage: Eukaryota; Viridiplantae; Streptophyta; Magnoliopsida; Malvales; Malvaceae. The record is from RNAcentral.